GGCUGGUCUGACUGCAGUGGUGUUUACAACUAAUUGAUCACAACCAGUUAACAUAUUUUUUGUUCCUUCUUCUCUCCCACUGCCUCACCUGGCUAGCCUUAA
RNAcentral lists this Y RNA (102 nucleotides) under Carlito syrichta (Philippine tarsier). Its description in RNAcentral is "Y RNA (ENSTSYG00000033146.1)". It matches the Rfam family "Y RNA". Rfam says of the family: Y RNAs are components of the Ro ribonucleoprotein particle (Ro RNP), in association with Ro60 and La proteins. Lineage: Eukaryota; Metazoa; Chordata; Mammalia; Primates; Tarsiidae. The record is from Rfam by way of RNAcentral.